Aegilops tauschii subsp. strangulata is the source of this 4325-nucleotide non-coding RNA. The record is from RefSeq and is a predicted model, not a curated record. Lineage: Eukaryota; Viridiplantae; Streptophyta; Magnoliopsida; Poales; Poaceae.
UCGUUUGAACAUUUUUAUACAUUAAUUGAGUUUUCAAUGCAUUUAUAUGCAUACUUUAAAUUUGACUUACAGUCACAUGCUCUAAUCUAUCUAUCUAUACCUAUACUAAUUUCAGACUCCCUAAAAUUACCACGUUAAUUAGAAAUUAUGAGCCGUUCAACUGGUGGGACCGAGUUAUUACGGUGGAGAUUAACCCAUAUAUUUUUUGCUUAAUCACGUACUUAAUUCGGCCAAAAAAAAGUGAAGGCCCACGUUCCUUUCAUCAUUGCUGUACAAAAAGAAGCCCAACAGGCCUUUCAUCACCGUUGUCUAAAAAAAAAAGACCAUCAUCGGUUGCUAAAGAAAGAAGCCCUCCUCCCGUAUCCCUAACCUUGUGACGCCUACCAUCGGCCGCCACUUCCCAUGGAUCGCGCCGCCGCUUCCCAUGGAUCGUGCCGCCGCUCUGCUCACCAGCGUAGUCGUCACUGCCCACCGCAUCCAGCCGCUGUCGCAUCUCACCGCCUCCACCGCCCCCAUGAAUCACCGCCUCCUCUCUCUUGGACCAGCAUGCUGCGGUGGAUGCUUCCGGUCCCGUUGUGGCGACACGGCUGGUCAAGGGAACGCGGUGAGGCGGAUUGUGUCCCGUUCGUUGAUCUGCCCCACUUGCUGCUGCUCCUCUCCCAUCGACCGUCACAUCAACAUUUACUGCGACACACGACGUUCUCCUCUUCUGCGGCGAUGCUUAUAAGCGACAAUAACGGUGUCCUGUUGUGGCCCAACAUUCAUCGGACCGCUGAGGCACGGAAGUGCCCGGAGAAGAUCGCUCUCCGCUUAGCAAAUUCCACCGUGUUCUGAAUGGCUGCCCGACAAGGUGAUUUUCUUCUCUGAAUUUCUCUCAUGAAACUUGGGUGGCAUGGAGCGGGUGUGCUAGGUGGAGUGCCACUGGAUUGUUGUGUUAGUGGGGAGAAUCUCCGCUUAGCAAAUUCCACCGUGUUCUGAAUGGCUGCCCGACAAGGUGAUUUUCUUCUCUGAAUUUCUCUCAUGAAACUUGGGUGGCAUGGAGCGGGUGUGCUAGGUGGAGUGCCACUGGAUUGUUGUGUUAGUGGGGAGAAUCUGCUCUCCUGGAACUUGGGUUUGGCAAUGAAUUGUGCCAAUACUACUAUCCUUUGGCUUUGCAAUGGUGAUCUAUGCAGUUCUGUUUUUCCAAAUCAUGGUGGUUUAGUUAGUUUGUUAACAGCUGCUUCAGUUAGGACUAAUAAUCGAGAGUGGUUGACUGGAUUGAAUUUCGCAAAGGACAAUACAAUUUUGUUAUAAUUGGUGAUUUAGUUAGUUCGUAAAAAAUAGUUCAUAGGAUCAACUGCUAUUUAGCUUACUACAGUAUAGUUGUGUGGAUUGUCGGUGAUGAAUAAUGAGAUUUCAUGAAUAAUACCCAAUGCAUUGCUUACUGUUGUCCAGUGUACUACAGUUUAGUAUGAAGAACUUGACCUUUGUUUGACAAGAAAAUGUCUGUGCUAAUUCCCACACGGACUGAUUUUCUAGAACCAAUUUAGGCUGUGAUCAUUAGUGCGUCUUCAAAGCUGCUUGACAUAACAUAACGUUUGAUUUUUACUAAUCUGAAAUCGAGCCUAAGCAAUGUUAAGUAGACCUUUGAAUUCUUAAUAAGGAAAUUACACAAUUUGUUUUGUGUGCCGCAGGAUUAGUGUUGUUUAAAGAAUUUUUUCUUCAAACCAAUCAGGUUGACGAUUUUAACUGUCGAUGCAGACGCUCUGCCGGAUGUUCAUCAUCAGCGCCAGUCAUGGGUUCAGGCUCCUGUGGAACUCAUGGCAUCAACCAUAUGAACCUGCAUGUAUUUGAUAGUUUGCUUGAUCAGUUUUAUGCCUUCCACUAUAGCUAUGGCUACUACGCAACUUCAUUGAGAUUUUUUCUAUAGGACUUGGAUUAGUAAUCCCCAACAAUACGGUCACGCUUCUUAUAAUUACUUUCAGACGCUGUGCCGGAUGUUCAUCAUCGGUGCCAGUCAUGGGUUCAGGCUCCUGUGGAACUCAUGGCAUCGACCAUAUGAACCUUCAUGUAUUUGAUAGUUUGCUCGAUCAGUUUUAUGCCUUCCGCUACAGCUAAGGCUACUACGCAGCUUCAUUGAGAUUUUUUCUGUAGGACUUGGAUUAAUAAUCUUCAACAAUACGGUCAUGCUUCUUAUAAUUACUUUCAGGUAUAAAUACAUUUGUGAUUUUCUGUAUGUUGUGCUACUAAACUGUGUGCUAUACCAAGCAUGACAUCUGCGCCUUUUCAGAUAUGCAUGGAUUUUUCAAGAGAAUUUAUUUAAUAUGUAGUAUAUAGCUAGAAAGCUACCUAAAUGUUAGCUUAUAUUGCCAACUCUUGAAAAUAUACGGACCUUUUACUUUUUUUGCCGUGAACCUAGGGAGCUUGGGACGGAGUAGGUGUCAAUAGUCGGUAUAUACCAGAACAUUUUUUUUAUGAUUGCUAGAACAAUAUUCUGCGAUAUUGUAUAUACUAACAUAGUGACUGUGGAGUACUAAUUCAAAGUAUAUACUAUUGUACUGUAUUUUGUCUAUAUACCAUCUAUAUCAAAGUAGUACGUACACUGCUCUUUGUGCACGGCAGUAUGUAGCAUACAAAAUUAAAUCAAAUGGGUAUAUAACAUACACUUUGAUAAAGUAAGUAUGUACUUUUUUUCUGGUGCAGUAUAUACAACAUUUUUGUAAGGCAAUAUAUAGUACUUUUUAAGUGAACCAGUAUACUACUUUUUUUAUUCAGUAUAUACAUAAUCUUUUAGUCGAUAUAUACUACUCUUUCUGAGUAGGUAUAUACUACUAUUCUUGAUAUAUAAGGCAACCUGCAAAUUCCACGCCGCCGCCAUUGUCGACUAGAAGGUGGUACCGUCGCAUGGAUCUACCAGUGCAUGCCAUGCCAACAUUGUUUCUUAUUACCACCGUUGUUGACGAUAUUGGUGGUGCCGUCACAUGGAUCAAUCAGUGCACCCCAUGCUGUCGCUUUGUCGACGAGAUGGAAAUGCCGUCUUAUCCAUCGAUCAGUGCACCUACUUAUUAACGUCGCAUCGGCUAUGUGACUAGCUGCGUCAGUGGCUUUGCACCUCGAUCCAGAUUAGUUUCAUGCAAAGCCUGUCAUGUUUGCCUUUUGUGCAGGAAUAGGCAAGCACAACAGAAGACCUGAUCAUAGACACUCAUAGUCUGAGGUAAAUACUCCUUCGACGCAAGCUGUCACAUUGUUUUCUUUUAUCUUGAAAACUGUAAAUUUAUUUAAAAAAUUGUGGUAAAAAAUUAUUAAGUUAUUACGUGGGAGAGACCAUCAACUAAUAAUAAUAUAAAACAAGGGUAGGCUAGGAAAAAGAUACAUCAUUCUUAGAAAAUUGUGCUAACAAAGUUGUUAAGUUAUUACGUGGGAGAGACUCAACUAAUAAUAUAAAAACAAGGGUAGGCAGUAUUAUCGGAAAGAUUGGACGCUACUUCUUCCCCCAGGCCCGAAAGAGAUCACGCUUCUCCACCGUCUCUUCCUCUCCUGGUUAGAAAACAACCUCAAGCAAUUUUCCUUAUUUGAAACUUUUUCAGCUGUGCUAAAGGAGCUUAUUCUAAAAACUGUUUUCCUCAUCUGCAUCGGGUUCAUUUUCUUAUAUGUUUUUCCUUGCAGGUUUAUCUUGAAUACACAAUAACUUUGGAUUUGAGAUCACUUUGUUUUGUGUCAUGUGCUUGGAUAGUGUUGUGCUCUCCAGGGAUGCAAUCCCGGCUCUUCUCACAUAGAACCUAUGGAUACCUCAUGGAGAUUUGUUGGAGCAUAAUCUUCUAAUGUACAACCUAUGUAUACAUAUGGACAUCGGAGGGAGCAUAAUUAUGAUCAUCAAGCGAGCUUAUAAAAACCUGCUGUCUAAACAGACUACAGCGGCAUGAAGGAGGCUAAUGUCAGUUGUCAACGUCGUCGCUGGUCAAGUUACUAAUCAGUUUUUGUAUCGACAAAACAUGUCCAGGACCCUCUAUGGGAGAGUUAACAUCUUCAAUGGCCUUCCCAAUCUCCAGUUACGGCUGAUGUUGUUGCUUGAUAUGCUGGUCCGCCACAAUCUCCUCUUCAAGGAAUUUCCUUGCCAAGCUGCCAUGUCCUGGCAGUUGUAGGUUAGAGAAUUGGCUUCUCAUGAAUUUUCUUCUAACCCUUUUUUCAGUCAGCAGAUAGUGCAGAUAGUUAGGCGGUGAAACACUUGACAAUGAAGAUCUUUGUCAACUACUAAAACAUUGAUGGUUUCUGUUAUACUGUAUAUCUGAAUAAACAAUUUUACGGGCAAUUUUUUUGCAUAAGUAAAGGCAUGUGAGAACUGCUAA